Danionella cerebrum is the source of this 72-nucleotide non-coding RNA. Lineage: Eukaryota; Metazoa; Chordata; Actinopteri; Cypriniformes; Danionidae. The record is from the annotation of a GenBank genome assembly.
GGCUCGUUGGUCUAGGGGUAUGAUUCUCGCUUUAGGUGCGAGAGGUCCCGGGUUCAACAACUAAAUUUUCCA